Long non-coding RNA from Puntigrus tetrazona (Sumatra barb), 353 nucleotides. RefSeq lists it as uncharacterized. The transcript has 5 exons. The record is from RefSeq and is a predicted model, not a curated record. NCBI's taxonomy places the organism in Eukaryota, Metazoa, Chordata, Actinopteri, Cypriniformes, Cyprinidae.
UGCAAAGAAACAUUAGUGGAUGAGGCGAGGCUGUGUGGUAGUGUCAGCGGGGGCCCACUCGGGAGCCUGCCUCCUCCAUCGAGUCAGCUGUGCGACUUUGCCAUCUCUGAAUAUGCCUGCUCUUCGGUCGCAUCUUCUCUGUCCCCUGACGCCCUCGUCACGCUGCUGAGUUGCAAGGCACAGAGCAACCCGACCACCAGCGCAGAGGCGUGGAAGCUUUUCUUCCAGAAAGUGGCCGGAGUUCUGGAGGAGGCUCUGUCAGCGUACUCCAACAAAAGCCUCGGUGACCCUCAGCCUGACUCCCGUGUUCUCGAUGCCAUUGGAGAGGUGAAAGUCAACAACUUCAGCAGCGC